UUCUAUUACGCAGUGUGCUUGCAAUCCAUGUUGGCUGAAUGAGUGCGCAGGAAAAGUACAGGCGGAGCAUGAAAAACAAUACAAUUUAAAUCAGAGCGAUAGGAGCAUGCAUGCUAUUUAGAAUCCAUCUAGCAUGGAAGGAGUGAAUAAACAAGUAUUGGGAGAUGCGCUGGCAAACUUGAUGCCCUACCUUGGCACAUUCAUGUGUCCUGUGAUACCUUCAUAACGCUGCUCUUUGAUGAUGUUUUGCUUGUCUGUCUCUCCCUCUAACAGGUGAACUGUGCCUUGAGGGCGAUGAUGGUGGUCUCCAUCAGCACUCAAAGGAAUGGCCCAGCAAGGAUUAAUAAACCGAUGCUGAAUUAGUGAAUUAAUGAAUCAGUUUAUAUUACCUUGCAUAGUAUUUGCAAAAAUGGUGCACCUCGAUGUCAAACCAAGUAGUGAGAAUUUCAUAUUUAAGAGCACUAGGGUCUCCUAAAUCUGCUAGGUAUGGAAAACAGAGUCUGCUUUCAUUUGUGUUGGCGAGCAAGUACUGGCAUGUGAUCAAGUUUGAACAAGAGGCAUGGUCUAAGGGCGAGGGACAGUGUUAA
This 587-nucleotide long non-coding RNA is filed under the name Chinchilla lanigera (long-tailed chinchilla). Its description in RNAcentral is "lncRNA (ENSCLAG00000024032.1)". Lineage: Eukaryota; Metazoa; Chordata; Mammalia; Rodentia; Chinchillidae. The record is from RNAcentral.